RNAcentral lists this long non-coding RNA (5082 nucleotides) under Sus scrofa (pig). RNAcentral's name for it is "lncRNA (ENSSSCG00005030671.1)". The record is from RNAcentral. Lineage: Eukaryota; Metazoa; Chordata; Mammalia; Artiodactyla; Suidae.
UAACCCACUGCAAGGCCAGGGAUCUAACCUGCGUCCUCAUGGAUGCGAGUAGGAUUCUCUUCCUCUGGGCCCCUAAACCAUGCUCUACCUUUGCCACUGGCUGUGGCUCCUGCCCCAUGUCCUUCGAAGUGUGUCUAGUAUAAAUGUGGCCCAGUGUCCUAUACAUCAGAAAGCAUAGCUGAGCCUAAGAAUGCCCUGCAGUGAACACUACAGAACAAUUAUCAACUAUUAUUACAGAAUCUUUGUUGAAUUUCCCAAAUGUGCUAAUCACACUGCAGCUAUGUUAGAGAAUGUGUUGUACUUAUAUGUGGAAUCUAAAAAAAAAAAAAAAAAACCAAAAAGCCCACAGAAUUAUCAAAGCAAUCCUGAAGAAAAAGAACAACACUAACAACAAUAACCCUCCCAGACUUCAGACUGUACUACAAAGCUACAGUAAUCAGGACAGCAUGGUAAAGGCACAAAAACAGACAUAUAGAUAAAUGGAACAGGAGAGAGAGCCCAGAGCUAAACCUAUACACCUACAGCCAAUUAACCUUCCAGAAGGGAAACAAAAAUAUACAAUCAAGAAAAGACAGGCUCUUCAGUAACUGUUGUCCAAAAAGCUGGACAGCCUCAAAAAAAAAAAAAUCAAUGAAAUUAGAACAUUCGCUCAUACUAUAUACAAAAAUAAACUGAAAAUGGUUUAAAGAUCCAAAUAUAAGAAAUGACACCAUAAAACUCCUAGAAGAGAACACAGGUAAAACGUUCUCCGACAUAAAUCACGGCAAUAUUUUCUUAGAGCAGUCUCCCAAGGCCAAAGAAAUAAAAGUGAAAAUAAACAAAUGAGACCUAAUAAAACUUAACAGCUUUUGUGCAACAAAGGAAAUCAUCAACAAAACAAAAAUACAACCUACGGAAUGGGAGGAAAUAUUUGCAAAUGAUGCAACUGAUAAGGACUUGAUAGUCAAAAUAUACAAACAGCUCAUACAACUCAAUGUCAAAAAACAAACAACCCAGUCAAAAAACAAACAACCCAGUCAAAAAAUGGACAGAAUAUUUAAACAGACAUUUCUGCAAAGAAGACAUACAAAUGGUUAACAGGCACAUGAAAAGAUUCUGAACAUCACUAAUAGAGAAAUGCAAAACAAAACCACAAUGAGGUACCACCUCACACCGAUCAGAAUAGCUAUCAUCAAAAAGUCUACAAAUGACAAAUGCUGAAGAGGAGAUGGGAUUAAGAUGGCAGAGGAGCACUGGAGCUCACCUUCUCUCAUAACAACAAAAUUACAAGCAACUGCUGAACACCCUUCAACAAAAUAACCUGGAAACUACUAAAAAGAUAUCCUACUCCAGAAGACAAAGAGAAGGCCACACGAAGAAGGUAGGAGGGGCGAUUAUGCAAUAUAAGCAACACUGUACUCACCAGGUGGGCAGCCCAUAGAUUGGAAAGUAACUGUAUCACAGAGACUCACCCACUGGAGUGAGAGUUCUGAGCCCCAUAUCAGGUUCCCACACCUGGGGAUCUGGCAUUGGGAGGAGGAGCCGCCCCCCCCCAGCAUUUGGCAUUGAGGGCCAGUCAGGCUUGUGUGUAGGAGCUCCAUAGGACUGGGGGAAAUGGAGACUCCACUCUUCAAAGGUGCACACAGGCUUUUGUGUGCACUGGGGCCCAGGACAAAGCAGAGACUCCAUAGGAAUGGAAGUCAGACUUGCCUGUGGUUCUUGGAGGAUCUCCUGGGAAAACAGGGGGUGACUUUGGCUUGUUGGGAGGAAGGACACUGGAGGCAAAGGUCUCAGGAAUAAUCAUCAGUGUGAAUUCCUGUAGAGGUAGCCAUUUUGGAAAAAUGUGGCCCCACCCAUCAGGGCUGAGAAGCCCUGGGCCAAAUAAUAAAUUGGAAUAUAGCCCCACCCAUCAGCCAACAGGCUGCCUUAAGACCACCCAGACAAAGAGCCAACUCUAAUCACACCCAGGGACAAAGACUCACCCUCCAGAGGUAUAAGAAUCAGCUCCACUUACCAGUGGGCAGGCACCAGACCCUCCCAUCAGGAAGCCUGCAGCAAGCCCCUGUACCAACUUCAGCCAUAAGGUGGUUAGACACCAGAAGCAAGAGAAGCUACAACCCUACUGUCUGCAAAAAGGAGACCAACAACCACUAUGGAAAACAGUAUAGAGGUACCUCAGAAAACUAAAUAUAGAACAACCUUAUGACCAAGCUAUAUAUCCUAUAUCCAGAAAAAACUUUCACUGAAUAAGAUACAUGCAGCCUAUGUUAAGUGCAGCACUAUUAACAAUAGCCAAAACAUGGAAACAACCUAAAUGUCCAUCAACAGAUGAAUGGAUUAAGAUGUGGUACAUAUACACAAUGGAAUAUUAUUCAGCCAUAAAAAGAAGAAAAUAAUGCCACAUUUGCAGCAACACAGAUGGAACUGGAGAUUUUCAUACUAAGUGAAGUAAGUCAGAACAAGAAAGACAAAUACCAUAUGACAUCAUUUAUAUCUGGACUCUAAUAUACAGCAAAAAUGAACCUAUAUACAGAAAAGAAACAAACUCAUGGACAUGGAGAACAGACUUGUGUUUACCAAGGAGGAGAGGGAGGGAGCAGGAUAGACUGGGAGUUUGGGGUUAGUUGAUGCAAAUUACUGGAUCUGGAAUGGAUAAGCAAUGAGAUCCUGCUGUACAGCACAGGGAACUAUAUCUGAUCACUUGUGAUGGAAUAUGAUGGAGAUUAAUGUGAAAAAAAGAUAUAUAUAAAUAACUGUGUCACUUUGCUGUACAGAAAACUGUAAAGCAACUAUAAUAAAAAAUUUUUAUUAAAAGGAGACCACACCAAAAAUAUAUACAAAAUGAAAAAGCAGAGAAUUAUGACUCAGAUAAAGGAAUAAGAAAAAAAUAAAGAAAAAACAGCUAAGGGAUCUAAAGAUUACCAAUGAAACCUCCAAUGAAAAAGACUUUAGACUAAUGAUAGUAAAGAUGAUUCAAGAUCUUGGAAAUGAACUGGAGGCAAAGACUGAUAAACUGCAAGAAACACUGAACAAAGAAAUAGAAGAUAUGAAGGUUAAGCAAGCAGAGAUACAAAACACAAUUAACUGAAAUAAAAAAUUCACUAGAAGGAGCCAACAGCAGAACACAGGAAGCAGAAGAACGAAUAAGCGAGAUGGAAGACAGAUGGGUGGAAAUGACUGAUGCCAAACAGAAAAGAGGAAAAAGAUUGAAAAGACAUGAAGACAGCUGAAGAGAACUCUAGGACAAUGUUAAACUCACCAACAUCCAUAUUACAGGGGUGGCAGAAGGAGAAGAGAGAGAGACAAAAGGCCAGAGAAAAUAUUUGAACAAAUAAUAGCUGAAAACUUCCCUUAUAUAGAAAAGGAAUCAGGAGUUCCCAUCAAGGUGCAGCAGAAACGAAUCCAACUAGAAACCAUGAGGUUGCAAGUUUGAUCCCUGGUCUCACUCAGUGGGUUGGGCAUCUGGUGCUGCUGUGAGCUGUGGCAUAGGUUGCAGAUGUAGCUCAGAUUCUGUGUUGCUGAGGCUGUGGUGUAGGUCGGCAGCUAUAGCUCCAAUUAGACCCUAGCCUGGGAAUCUUCAUAUGCCACAGGUGUGGCCCUAAAAAGCAAAAGCAAAAGCAAAAAAAAAAAAAGCAAAGAAAGAAAAAAGAAAAAGAAUCACUUAUUCAAAUUUAGGAAGCACAAGAAGUACCGUAUAAAAUAAACCCAAGGAGGAACACCCCGAGAUGCACAUGAAUCAAACUGACCAAAAUUAAAGACAAAGAGAAAAUAUUGAAAGCAGCUAGGGAAAGGAAACAGUAACAUACAAGGGAACCCUGAUAAGGUUAUUGACAGAUUUUUCAGCAGAAAUCCUGCAAGCCAGAAGGGAGUGGCACCAUAUACUCAAAGUGAUGAAAGGAAGAAACCUCCAACCAAGAUUAUUCUACCCAGCAAGGCUCUCCUUCAGAUUUGAAGGAGAAAUCAAAAGCUUUACAGACAAUCAAAAGCUAAGAGAAUUCAGCACCACUCAACCAGCUUUACAACAAAUACUAAAGGAACUUGUCUAGGUAGAAAGGAAAAGGCUACAGCUAGAAAUGAAAUUACAAAUGACAAGGCUCACAAGUAAAGGCAUACAUAUAGUAAAAGUAGGAAACCAUCCAUACACAAAUAUGCUAAUAAAACAAGAAAUCAUGAGAGGAGAAGGGUACAAAUGCAGGAUACUAGAGAUGCAUUUGCAAUUAAGAGACCAACAAUUUAAGGCAAUCUUGUAUGUGUGUAUAUAUAUAUAUAUUCCUAUAUCAAAACUUCAUGGUAGCUGCAAACCAAAACUACAAUAGAUAUACACAAAUAAGAAAAAGUAAUCCAAACACAAUACUAAAGAUAGUUAUCAAACCAUAAGACAAGAAGGGAAGAAAAAAAGACUAACAAAACCAAAUACAAAACAAUUAGUAAAAUGGCAAUAAGAACACACAUAUCAAUAAUUACCUUAAAUGUAAAUAGACUAAAUGCACUAACCAAAAGACACAGACUGACUAAAUGGAUGCAAAACCAAGACCCAUAAAUAUUUUGUCUUCAAGAGACCCACUUCAGUUCUAGGGACACAUACAAAUUGAAAAUGAAUGGAUGGAAGAAAAUAUUCCAUGCAAACAGAAGUCAAAAGAAAGCUGGAGUAGCAAUACUCACAUAUAGACAAAACUGACCUGAAAAUAGAGAAUAUUAUAAGAAACAAAGAAGGACAUUACAUAAUGAUCAAAGGAUCAAUCCAAAGAAGACAUAACAAAUUAUAAAUACAUAUGCACCCAACAGAGAAUCAUCUCAAUAUAUAAGGCAACUGCUCACAACCUUAAAAGGAGAAAUUCAAUAACACAAUAAUAGUGGGGGACUUUAACACCCCAUUUACAAGAAUGGACAGAUCACCCAGACAGAAAAUCAACAAGGAAACACAGGCCUUAAACACUGCAUUAGGCCAGAUGGACAUAAUAUUUACAAAACAGUCCAUCCAAAAGCAGCAGAAUACACAUUCUUCUCAAGUGAACAUGGAACAUUCUUAGGAUACAUCACAUUCUGGGCCACAAAUCAAGCUUCAGAAACUUUAAGAAAAUUGAAAUUACAUCAAGCAUCUUU